This 465-nucleotide ribosomal RNA is filed under the name uncultured bacterium. RNAcentral's name for it is "partial 16S ribosomal RNA". It matches the Rfam family "Bacterial small subunit ribosomal RNA", at positions 28 to 507 of the family's 1533-position model. The record is from RNAcentral.
GACGAACGCUGGCGGCGUGCUUAACACAUGCAAGUCGAACGGAAAGUCCCCUUUGAGGGUCCUCGAGUUGCGAACGGGUGAGUAACACGUGAGUAACCUGCCCUUAACUUCGGGAUAACUUCAGGAAACUGGGGCUAAUACUGGAUAGGAAUCCUUUCUGCCUGUUGGGGGUUGGAAAGCUGCGGUGGUUUUGGAUGGACUCGCGGCUUAUCAGCUUGUUGGUGGGGUAGUGGCUUACCAAGGCUUUGACGGGUAGCCGGCCUGAGAGGGCGACCGGCCACAAUCGGAACGGGAUACGGCACAGACUCCUGCGGGAGGCAGCAGGGGGGAAUAUUGAACAAUGGGCGGAAGCCGGAUGCAGGAACGCGGCGUGCGGGAUGACGGACUUCGGGUUGGAAGCCGUAUUCAGCAGGGGCGAAGCUUGUGGUGAAGGUACCUGCAGAAGAAGCACCGGCUAACUACGGG